AGGUCAUGUGUGUCAUGAACCAAGGAUUAUGAUUAAUCCAAUUCUGUGCACCUGAAGUCCAGU
Molecule: small nucleolar RNA, 63 nt
Filed under: Choloepus hoffmanni (Hoffmann's two-fingered sloth)
Lineage: Eukaryota; Metazoa; Chordata; Mammalia; Pilosa; Megalonychidae
Description: Small nucleolar RNA SNORD112 (ENSCHOG00000015876.1)
Source: RNAcentral